GACGAACGCUGGCGGCGUGCUUAACACAUGCAAGUCGAACGGGAUUUAGUAGACGGAAGCCUCGGUGGAAGAUUACUAAUGAGAGUGGCGAACGGGUGAGUAACGCGUGAGCAACCUGCCUAUGACAGUGGGAUAGCCUCGGGAAACCGGGAUUAAUACCGCAUAAAAUCGUAGAAACACAUGUUUCAACGGUCAAAGAUUUAUCGGUCAUAGAUGGGCUCGCGUCUGAUUAGCUAGUUGGUGAGAUAACAGCCCACCAAGGCGACGAUCAGUAGCCGGUCUGAGAGGAUGAACGGCCACAUUGGAACUGAGACACGGUCCAAACUCCUACGGGAGGCAGCAGUGGGGAAUAUUGCACAAUGGGGGAAACCCUGAUGCAGCGACGCCGCGUGAACGAAGAAGGUAUUCGUAUCGUAAAGUUCUGUCCUAUGGGAAGAUAAUGACAGUACCAUAGAAGAAAGCUCCGGCUAAAUACGUG
This 478-nucleotide ribosomal RNA is filed under the name uncultured organism. RNAcentral describes it as "bacterial SSU rRNA". It matches the Rfam family "Bacterial small subunit ribosomal RNA", at positions 28 to 507 of the family's 1533-position model. The record is from RNAcentral.